AUGGAGCCUCCUUUCCUCUCUGCCUGCUGGGACCUGCCUGCACCCUGCCUGAACAACUGCAGCUCUGCCUGCAGCUCUGCUUGCACCCCUGCCCGCUGGGACCUGCCUGAUGAGCUGCAGCCCUGCCUGUCCCCUGCCUGCCCAGGGGCGGCUUUGGCAGCUCCCAGUCCCGCACUGGACCUGCUGCCCGUGGGUUUCCACCACCGCCUGGAGCUUUGCAGUCCCUUUCCCCCAGGCCGGGGAGCGGAGCCGCCUCUUCCCCGGGGAUCCCAGGGGCCAAACGGGGCCAGUCCCCGGCCGGGACCCCCCUCCUCUUCCCCGCGGGCUGCCGUUACCGAGCACAGGAAGGACGCCCGGGGCUGGCGAGUGAGCCCCGGGGCGCGGGGGGGGAGUGAGGAAGAGUCACCGACUUCCUCCCCCGCCGAGGUGACGGUGGGGCGAUGCUCGGUGGCCGCCUCGGGGCAGAGCCCGACGGGUCGGACGCGGCGGGGGAGGCGCGGUGACCGCCCCACGGCCCCACCGAGCGCCGUCCCGCCCCAGUUCCUCCGCCGAGGCCGGGGCCGGUCCCAGCACCGGGAGGAGAUGGUCCCCGACCGCCGCCGCUGGAGCCUGGGCUCCGUCCUGCUGCUGCUCGGGGGAACCCUGGCUGUCCGGGUCCAAAUCCAUCAGGAUUCGGUCAAUGGCACCGUGGGACAGUCCGUGCUCCUGAACAUCUCCUACAUGUUUGAUGAGGCCUCUCGCUUCCCACUGUCCAUUUGCUGGAUGUUCCAUAACUCCUCAAAGGUGAUCCUCACCUGCGCAGUGCAGAACUGCUCCCUGGAUGCUGGGGGGGCUCCCAGCAACUGCUCUGCAACAUGUUUCCCCCCCCCCCCGAAACGUGGCCGUGCUGAGCUCUUCCCCGAUAACGGGUCCCUGCUGCUGCGGGACCUGAAGCUCAGUGACAGCGGGGUUUAUGUUGUUACCUUCAAAGAGCCAUCCCAGAGCUGGCCCAUCACCCUGGUCGUGCACGAGCAGCGUUUCCCCCCUGAGCAUCCUGAUCCAUCAGUCAGCCCGGGUGAAGAGCACGCCCUUCACUGGACAAUUGGAGUUUCUUCCUCAGUCGCCCUCCUGCUGCUGCUCCUGCUCUUCUGCUACCUCAGGCACCUGGCUCAGCAGAAGAAGAGGAGAAUCAUCAAACAGCAGCAGGUCUCAGGUGUGGAGGAGCCCCACAUGGAAAGCACUGUGGUGGGGGGCAUGGCGACCAUUUACGCCAGAAUCGGAGACAGCUUUGAACAGCCACAGACCAACAGACCAACAUCAGAGACUGUGUACACAUCCAUAACCCACCCUGAGCCUUCAGGACUGGACACAGCACUCUACCAUGUGGUGGUUUGACUGUGGGAGCCGCCUCAAAGAGGACCUUUGCAGAAGGUGGUCGUGCUUCAAAGCAGAGAGGAUGCCUUUGUGGCUGAUGCCCUCGGUGCUGCCCCUUCCAAGCCUGGGCUGAGGGGGAUUUGGAGCAACAGAGCACAGAAAUGCAAUCAUUUCCUCGAACUGCCAGCCCUCUCGAAUUUGAGGAAACAGCUGGUCUUGGUUUCUUCUUGAGGCUUUUUGAGAGCACAAAGAGACUCGGUGUGUGAUGGGUGAGAUGGAGGAGAAAGAUGCUCAAGGCAACGGCAAACCCACAGUUCACCCAUGGGAAGGUUGUUUCCAUAGACUCCCCUUUGCUUGAGGGGUAACAGAGAGCAUUAAAUGGAGUUUAAUCACGUGUCCCAGGUUCACUACCAGUGGUCUUGUCACAUUAAAAGGCUAGGUGAAGAUCCUUUGACCUGACAAGUUGUCCUUAUUUUUAUAAAUCUGGCAAGUAAUUGUUGAGCUGACUUCCUGCAAUGAAAUUUGCUUGUCAGUGGGAUCCCAGGGCAACAGGUUCCUCUGCUGUUGGUUUGAAACAUCCUUUUGAAGCACAAGGAGGUGGGGCUUUCUCUACAAUGGGUUUCCUGGCACCUGAUGCCCUUCCCUCAAAGUGGUGUGCAUGGGUGGAAGAAAGCUGAGCCAUGUAACUCUGGCUUAAAAUUAAAAGGCCGUGUCCCCCGCAGCAGCACCAGCGUUUUCAGUCACCUCUGAAGUUCAGCGAGGGCAUGAAUGGGUUUUGUUUCCCUCUGGGUUUCACGGAAAGCCAGGUCAUUUGUGCCCAGACACGGGGCUUGGUCGCUGAUGAUAAAUGGAUGCUGUGGAGGGAUGAGCCCAUGGGAAUAACUGCACUUCUCACACCGGGCUGGUGAAACUCCCCAUUUCU
Molecule: long non-coding RNA, 2275 nt
Filed under: Calidris pugnax (ruff)
Lineage: Eukaryota; Metazoa; Chordata; Aves; Charadriiformes; Scolopacidae
Description: lncRNA (ENSCPUG00000008252.1)
Source: RNAcentral